AUACGAAAGGUGCAAGCGUUGUUCGGAUUUACUGGGCGUAAAGAGAGUGUAGGUUGUUUAUUAAGUCGGAUGUGAAAUCCCGGGGCUCAACCUCGGAACUGCAUUCGAUACUGGUAGACUAGAGUUCGGGAGGGGUAAGCGGAAUUCCGUGUGUAGCAGUGAAAUGCGUAGAUAUACGGAGGAACACCUGAGGCGAAGGCGGCUUACUGGACCGAUACUGACACUGAGACUCGAAAGCGUGGGUAGCAAACAGGAUUAGAUACCCUUGUAGUCC
RNAcentral lists this ribosomal RNA (274 nucleotides) under uncultured bacterium. Its description in RNAcentral is "partial 16S ribosomal RNA". It matches the Rfam family "Bacterial small subunit ribosomal RNA", at positions 523 to 796 of the family's 1533-position model. The record is from RNAcentral.